Molecule: unclassified non-coding RNA, 1267 nt
Filed under: Hevea brasiliensis (rubber tree)
Lineage: Eukaryota; Viridiplantae; Streptophyta; Magnoliopsida; Malpighiales; Euphorbiaceae
Source: RNAcentral
GGAAAAUCAUAAAUCAACAUAUAAAAUUGUCUCUGUCACGUCUGUUAGCAUGGUUUUAGGGAUUUAGGAAUAUUGUAAACUUGUGGCGUAUAAAAUUAAUUAAAGGAUGUUGUUUAUUUUAGAAAAAAAUUAACCGAUAUAUAAUUAUAGAAAAAUAUCAAAUAUAGUCUCUAUUUGGCAAUGCAUAAUUAUUAAUUCUUACGUUUUACUAUGGCGGCUGAGCUGACCAUCACAAUUUAGUGUUAAAACCUCUUCUUAAACCCAGAAGAAACCCCCUUGAGGCAAAGUUCGAAGAUAAGGAAUACAGAGAUUAAGAGACUCAGAGAAGCAGAGGUAGGUAUGGCUUCGUGGUGUCAAGCUCUUGUUCCUUUGACACUUGACUCGUGCUCUCUCUUCUCUUCUUCCACCUCUCGUCCCCUUCCUUUUUUCCAUUAUACUUCUUCCACUAACACUGGACUGGUCGUGGGCUCGGGUUUCUCUGCACCCAGUUACUCAACUAGUAUCAAAUUGACAGAGUCUUACUUAUACCCUUCAAUCAGCAAGAAAAAGGGAACAACAGACAUUUGCAGAGCUGCCGAGUACAAAUUUCCGGACCCAAUUCCCGAAUUUGCUGUUGCAGAGACAGAGAAAUUUAGGACGCAUCUCCAUAAGAAGCUCUCAAAGAAGGACAUUUAUGGAGAUUCACUUGAAGAGGUGGUCGGAAUCUGCACUGAGAUUCUCGGUAACUUCUUGCACAAAGAGUAUGGCGGUCCUGGAACUCUCUUAGUCAUACCUUUCAUUGACAUGGCUGAUACUAUAAAUGAGCGAGGUUUGCCUGGAGGACCACAAGCUGCACGUGCAGCAGUCAAAUGGGCCCAAGAUCAUGUUGACAAGGACUGGAAAGAGUGGACUGGUGGUGAUAGUAAUUGACAGAACAACUCCCUAAUCAUCAAUUUGGCUGGAGAUUCUGUUUAACUGUUGUACUGUCAGCUGAAGAAGAACAUCGAACAGUUAUGAUUCUAUUUGUGCAUCUCUGAAAGGAAGUGAUUAUUGAAAGAAAACUGAAAUUUGAGAAUUUUUUGUGGAGUGAGGGGAGAAUAUGUAUAUCUGUACUAUCAUGGGAUUGUAUAAUGUCAUCACAUUUGAUAGGGCCUUUGAUUGGAAUUUAGAAGCAGCAAGGUUAAGCUGUUCAAAUUUUGCUGGAAAUGUUCGAGAAUUUAUCCCAUAUUCUCUUGCAUCUCUAUUUCAAGCUCUUUCUAUAACUGCUAGUUAUGAGAGUAGCCUCACC